GAUCAUGGCUCAGGAUGAACGCUAGCGACAGGCUUAACACAUGCAAGUCGAGGGGCAGCGGGGAGUAGCAAUACUCUGCCGGCGACCGGCGCACGGGUGAGUAACGCGUAUGCAACUUGCCUAUCAGAGGAGAAUAGCUCAUCGAAAGAUGAAUUAAUGCUCCAUGAAACAGGGGUUCCGCAUGGGAAUAUUUGUUAAAGAUUCAUCGCUGAUAGAUAGG
This 220-nucleotide ribosomal RNA is filed under the name uncultured bacterium. Its description in RNAcentral is "partial 16S ribosomal RNA". It matches the Rfam family "Bacterial small subunit ribosomal RNA", at positions 15 to 229 of the family's 1533-position model. The record is from RNAcentral.